GCGCGGGGCAACCUGGCGGCGAGCGGCGAACGGGUGAGAAUGCAUCGGAACAUGUCCAAUUGUGGGGGAUAGCCCGGCGAAAGCCGGAUUAAUACCGCAUGAGCCCGAGAGGGGAAAGUGGGGGACCGCAAGGCCUCACGCGAUUGGGUUGGCCGAUGUCCGAUUAGCUAGUUGGCGGGGUAAAGGCCCACCAAGGCGAUGAUCGGUAGCUGGUCUGAGAGGAUGAUCAGCCACACUGGGACUGAGACACGGCCCAGACUCCUACGGGAGGCAGCAGUGGGGAAUUUUGGACAAUGGGGGAAACCCUGAUCCAGCCAUUCCGCGUGAGUGAAGAAGGCCUUCGGGUUGUAAAGCUCUUUUGUCCGGAACGAAACGGCUACGACUAAUACUCGUGGCUACUGACGGUACCGGAAGAAUAAGCACCGGCUAACUACGUGCCAGCAGCCGCGGUAAUACGUAGGGUGCGAGCGUUAAUCGGAAUUACUGGGCGUAAAGCGUGCGCAGGCGGUUUUGCAAGCCAGAUGUGAAAUCCCCGGGCUCAACCUGGGAAUGGCAUUUGGGACUGCAAGGCUGGAGUGUGGCAGAGGAGACUGGAAUUCCUGGUGUAGCAGUGAAAUGCGUAGAUAUCAGGAGGAAUACCGAUGGCGAAGGCAGGUCUCUGGGCUGACACUGACGCUCAUGCACGAAAGCGUGGGGAGCAAACAGGAUUAGAUACCCUGGUAGUCCACGCCCUAAACGAUGUCGACUGGUUGUUGGGGGUUUGACACUCUCAGUAACGAAGCUAACGCGUGAAGUCGACCGCCUGGGGAGUA
RNAcentral lists this ribosomal RNA (812 nucleotides) under uncultured beta proteobacterium. RNAcentral describes it as "bacterial SSU rRNA". It matches the Rfam family "Bacterial small subunit ribosomal RNA", at positions 72 to 882 of the family's 1533-position model. The record is from RNAcentral. Lineage: Bacteria; Pseudomonadati; Pseudomonadota; Betaproteobacteria.